UUUCAACUCAGCUGAAGGAAGUGAAUCAUUUCCUAAAAAUGAAAUCGAUUACUAUAGCUUUUUUAUUAAUAAACAUAAUUGGAGUUACCUUGGGGUUAAAAGAUCCCAUCUGCGGUUUACGUCCGGGUGAAGGUUUCUUCAUAUGCAAGAGGGGAGGCCAUGGAGGAUAUGCAUAUAUACCCAAAAAUAAUACAUGUGUAUCCAAUCCCCACUGUCGGAUAGGAAACGGCAAUUUUUUCUUGGAUCUCGCUGCUUGCGAAGCAAAGUGCAAGGAAUAAUAAAAUAAUUAAUAUUUAUACCCGUUACUCGUAGAGUAAAAGGGUAUAUUGUAUUCGUGCAAAAGUAUGUAACAGCUA
This is a long non-coding RNA of Drosophila rhopaloa, 356 nucleotides long. RefSeq lists it as uncharacterized. The record is from RefSeq and is a predicted model, not a curated record. Lineage: Eukaryota; Metazoa; Arthropoda; Insecta; Diptera; Drosophilidae. The transcript has 2 exons.